Molecule: ribosomal RNA, 429 nt
Filed under: Acidobacteriota bacterium
Lineage: Bacteria; Pseudomonadati; Acidobacteriota
Description: Acidobacteria bacterium partial 16S ribosomal RNA
Rfam family: Bacterial small subunit ribosomal RNA
Source: RNAcentral
UGGGGAAUUUUGGACAAUGGGGGAAACCCUGAUCCAGCCAUCCCGCGUGUGCGAUGAAGGCCUUCGGGUUGUAAAGCACUUUUGGCAGGAAAGAAACGUCAUGGGUUAAUACCCCGUGAAACUGACGGUACCUGCAGAAUAAGCACCGGCUAACUACGUGCCAGCAGCCGCGGUAAUACGUAGGGUGCAAGCGUUAAUCGGAAUUACUGGGCGUAAAGCGUGCGCAGGCGGUUCGGAAAGAAAGAUGUGAAAUCCCAGAGCUCAACUUUGGAACUGCAUUUUUAACUACCGGGCUAGAGUGCGUCAGAGGGGGGUGGAAUUCCGCGUGUAGCAGUGAAAUGCGUAGAUAUGCGGAGGAACACCGAUGGCGAAGGCAGCCUCCUGGGAUAACACUGACGCUCAUGCACGAAAGCGUGGGGAGCAAACAGG